RNAcentral lists this long non-coding RNA (13790 nucleotides) under Citrus x clementina. Its description in RNAcentral is "Citrus clementina (C. clementina) long non-coding RNA (CCLE_LNC004499)". Lineage: Eukaryota; Viridiplantae; Streptophyta; Magnoliopsida; Sapindales; Rutaceae. The record is from RNAcentral.
CUUUUAUUACUUCAAUUUAUUUUGUUUUAGGUAUAUGAAACCACCCUAUAUUAUAAAAUUACACCACAUUAUUUCAACAAGCCAGUGAAGUAUCGGCGAAAACAUUUUAACAAGAGAGAUUUGGGCCAGGAGCAACACCAAAUUUGUUGCAAUAAUCCUUAUAAUAUCCAAUGCGAGCUUGAACCUGAGCAGGUUGCUUGCCACCGCAUUCAACGGCACCAUUGAUUCUCUGAAUUGUUGCACCAAAACCUUGGUUCAUAACUGGGUGCACAUUGGUCAUCCAAAACCACAAGGCAGUCUUAAAUGACACAACGGGGUCCUUGGCCACCGUUUCCGGAGCUCUUAAUCCGUCAAACCCGAUGGCUUUUCCGGCAGCUCCGUAGUUUCCAUUUCCGGUGAGUUGGAUCGGUCCACGGCCGUAGUAGAACUUUCCGGGAACACAUGGGUACUGUUUGUUUUGUUCAUCACAGUACCGGUUGGACUUGUUAAUCUCUUCUAUGUAGCACAAAUCUGAAAAAGCCAGACAUUUUUUUUUCUAAUUAAUUCUCUCCGGGCUUAAUCAAGAUAAUUGGCUAGUGGCAAAUCAUAUCAAUUAAAAGUUGGAGUAUUCAAUUAGUUUUAUUGAAAACUUUUAUGUGUUCAACAAACUGAGAACAUUAUUUAAUACAUAUAAAGCAUGUAAUUAAAAAGAUUAUGUUCAUUCCAACCUUAUAUAUAUUUCUAGUAGUGAACAAAUAUGGGCCCUUCGAUUUGAAAUUCAACUUCAACCUUUUGCUUUUUUUUUCUGGGGCGGCGGGGGGGCGGGGGGGAUAUAGUUUUAAAAAAUUUCAAAAACGGUUUUGAAAAUAAUAAAACAAAGAAAAGUCGUUUUCUUCUCUAUGCAUGGAUUGCUCAUAAAUACUUUGCAUGCAAAAAGAAAUAAAAUGGAGAGAACUUACGUCCAGUUUCAUGAGUGACGUGUGCAAAAAAUGCAGCAAUCUCACGCUUCGAAACUUCAGGAGAGCCGCUACCAAAUUGAGGAUAAGCCUUGGCAGCAUUCAGAAACGCAUCUCUCGUGUAGAAGCUCUUGCCGGCACAACUCGCGGCUGCCUGAUUCUUUAUGCCGUCGAAGAACUGGGGAGUCACAAUGCUAGCAACAUUUUGACACAUUACUUUGGUGGGAAAAGCUAGGGCAAGAAUGCCCACAAGAGCAAAGGUUACAAUAUUUUUUUUCAUGUUAAGUGGAGCCAUUUUGUUUAGGAGUAGAGAAAUGUGAGUGAUAUGCAAAUGUUGGUGAUGGGAGUACGGUAUUUAUAGAGUGCAAAAUGGACGUUAUGUCUGCCACGUGCUGGUGAAUUGUGAUAAAUUUGAACAUAGAGUUUAUCUCUUGUUAGGUUUUUCUAGACUUCGCAUUUGUUGUGGCUUGAAAUCUAGCUGGCUUGACUUGUCAAAAGAACUAGAAAUAAAAUAAAAGAAAAUAAAUCAAAUCUUUCGAGUGGGUUGUUGAUUGACCGCCAUCUAUAUUAAACUUUUUCAAAUUAAAUUUGAAUAAUAAUUGUACAAAAUAUAAUUUUAAAUAACUAAUUUUCAAUAAAUUUUGAGGAAAUUUGUUUUUUAAUGUAACUGAAUUAAUUGUAGAUUGGAAAAUCUUAAACUCAUACUUGUUUCGAGCUUUCAGAUAUUGAAACUCAGACAUGUUUAUUUUUAAUUAUCUACCUACUUUGUUUAUAUAUAUACACAUGCACUAGACUUUACACAAAUUUUAACAAAAAAAUAUGUGGUUUGUACUCAUUUGAGUGAUUUAAAUUUUUUUAGGUUUGUUAAUUAAUAACUAAUAACAUGGUAUCAUAUUUUCUCAGCUAAAUACUUAUUUGGUCUGUGUAUUUUUCAGUUAAGUAUCCAUUUAAUCUCUUUAUUUUAGAAAAUAUUUCAAGACAUCUUUACUGGUAAAUAUAUUACAUUCCUACCCUGAUCUUUUCUUUGAUUUUAGAAUAAUACCCUUACAAUAAUAUUGUUGGAGAUUCAAUGAAAAGAAAAAAAAAAUGAAUUUAUCAAAUUAGUCUUAAAAGUAAGAUAAAAAUUACUCUAUCUAUUUUUUGUUAUCUUAAUUUUAGGAUUAAUUUGNNNNNNNNNNNNNNNNNNNNNNNNNNNNNNNNNNNNNNNNNNNNNNNNNNNNNNNNNNNNNNNNNNNNNNNNNNNNNNNNNNNNNNNNNNNNNNNNNNNNUUAGCUUAAACAUUGCUUUAAAUUAGUUGGUUUUAAUUUAUCAUAAAUGGUUACUAGUUGUUGUAGAAUGAUAUUUAUUUCUAAUUUUCUAAUAUAUUGGUUAAUAUGCUAUUUAUUUUUUUAGAUAAAAAAUUAAUGCCAAAAAUAUUAUUGUUAGUAUUGUUGUAAAAGGUAAGAAAAAAAUAAGAGGAAGAUCGUAACAUAUUUAAAAUAGGAUGUCUUUACAUUUUUUUUUAAAAUAUGUGGACAAAAAAGAUAUUUAAAUUAAAAUAUAGGAUAUAUACCCUAAUUUCUUUAUAACUUAAUUUCCUUUCUUUCCUUAAUUCUUUUUCCUUUUUUUAGUGAUAUCAGUUAUCACAAUGUAAAAAUUAAUAAUCAGUCCAAACAUCUGAGUUUUUUUUAAUAUUUUCCGUUUAUAAAUACUGAAAUAUUUAUGUAUAUCUUCGAAACUGAAAAGUCAAGCCUUCCACUAACUCCCGUUCUCAAUUAGCGGCGUAAAUUUGGGUCCAUGAAAUGAAAGCAAUUCUUCUUGUACCCUUUUCUCCACACUAGUUCUUCUCGUUCUCUUCUCGGCAUUGAUAUUCUGGUGUGUCACUAAUCAAUUUAAUAUCUCAAAAUAUUUUGGUGACGUCCUAAUGUAUACAAACUUUCAUUCUCAAGUACAAGGGUUUCAUCUGUUUUAAUAAAAUCAAUAUUUAAUAUAUUAUAAAAUCAUGUAAUUUAAUAAUAUGUUUGUACUAAUUUUAUUAAAUCAUAUGACUCAAUAACGUGGCAUAUGAAAUAAACAAUAAGCUGUCCACAUGAAAAAAAAAAGUUUAUAUAUAUACUUAUAAAAUUAAUUAGAAAAUAUCCUUAUUAAAAAUCUAACCGAUCAAAGGAGCUUCUAAAACUUUCACGUAGGAUAAGUUGUCUUUUUCCAUACAAAUACUUAAAAACUUUUUUCUGAUACAAACCCCAACAUAUGAUUAUGGCCAUAGAAAAUUUGAAAAUUUUGUCCCAAAAAAAAACUUGAAAGAAAAGCUUAAAACUAAUAACGAAAAAUAGGAUAAAUUAAUCAAACACAUGAUGACCAAUUUUGCAUUAAUCUAUUUGUGAUAGCCAAUUUUAAUCAAAAUAAAUAUAUCUGCAAUCGGAAAAAUAACUUUUUUUUUUUUACUUCGAUAUUAGAAACAGGCAGCCACUGAUUGGGACCAUCAAGUAUACAAGUUUACAACGGUACGAAACUUGUUUCGAUUGCAUUCGGCUGCCCGAAAAACGGGAAAAAAAGAAAACAGAUUUUCUUUGUAAUGUCGGUAGCAUGUUCUUUUGACAAGUUUAAUAAAAGAUUCAAAGAAAAUCUAUGACUUUUUACUCAAAACUUUCCACCUGGGGAGAUGAAAACUGCACAGUUAAAGCAUCAAACACAUUGUUCAUGAAUCAUGAUCAAAGGAAAAAAAAUUUCUGAGCUGGAUUGAAAACAUCAAAAUCAGUAUUCAUAAAUCAUGAUAAGAAGAUAAAAGUUCUCUUUGUCGGAUAAGAAACAUUAGCUUUUCAGAAUUUUUUUUUUUUUUAAAAUGAACUUAGAAGGAUUCCAAGUGUCCCUUUUACUAAUUUAUAAAUAGGGUAAUUUGCCCUUAUUUGUAUGAAAAGCCAACCACAUCCUCCUGACAAAAAAAAAAAAAAGGGGCAAAAAGCCAACCUCAUCCGUCGAAUCAGCCAGUAAUUUUUUACACGUGUACAAUUUUUGGGAUUUCUUAACACAUGCUGUUUGGAAAGCAUCUCGUAUCGCCCAAAAUAAAAAGUGCAUAAUUUUCUUUUUUUCAAAGGUUCUUUUAUAAAUGAUAUCGGUCAAUGGAAUUAUUGUUUUGCUCUAAUUUUUUAUUAGGCUCUUCUCUUGGGAUUUUUGUCCUUCAUUCUAAGCCUUCUGACAAAUCACAAUUGGGGCUACUUUGAAUGAUAAAGCUUGCUGGACUUAUGACUAGGCUCCUUUUGGUAUGUCAUUUCAUUUGAAUAUGUAAUUUCUUUAAUUACGUUUGAAAAGGAAAAAUAUGACAAGAAAGAGGAGUACACUAUAAUAGUUGUCUGAGUCUGAUAAUGGACUGUACAGUGCUUACCUUGAUAGAACUCAGUGCACAAAGUAGUUGAGCAUACAUAACAAAAUCCCCAAACUUUACUCCGUUGCCAAACAUGUCUAAGUUAAAUUUACUCUAUUAUAAAAAAGUCUUGGGCGUUGGGUGUUUUAGGAGCACCACAUCAUUCACAUUCACAUUAUAAUAUUUGAGCAAAAGAAAAUUGCCUAAAAUAUGUAUGAUUAUCUGCAGGCUUUAAGUUUUAUCCAAUUAAAGAAUUGAAUGUUCAUCAUUUAUCAAAUUAAUAACUAGUUUUUAAAGAAAUUAUGGCUCUAAAGUAUUUCCAGUUUUCUUUAAUUUCAUAGACGAGUCAAUUAACAACAAAAAUAAUCCAUUAAUUUAUGGCAGACGAGAACAAUAUUUCAAUUGCAAAUCAACCUGAAAGUUGUUUACAAACAUAUCAUAAUCUAUAGGAACAAAUCAGUUAUAUAUAUAUAUAUAUAUAUCUUAUGGCAAAAAAAAAACAUACAAAUUAACUUUAUUCUUGAUUUUUUUCUACACGACAAUAGUUGUUUACAAUUGUAUGAUUCUGGCUGAUGGAGGUAUAAACCACAAAUCAUGUGAUUAGUAAUUAGUUCUUUCAACUAUUGUUCAAGCAAUAAAGAGUCCCAUUUCAUGGCCAAGAUUGCACGUCAACCAGAAAAAGACAUGAUCUUAAAUGAUAUAACAAAAUAAAUAUGUAGUAAUUUCACUUACAAACUAAGGGUAUUUUUUACUUUCCUCCAUUGAUUAUUCAAAAAAACUUCCGCUGACCUGAAAACAUUUUUUACCAUAACAGUUGUGUGGCUGUUUAGUGGACCUUGAGGCGUUCCAUAGGACAUCCACUGAUUCCAAAUAAAAAACGCACCCUUUGUUGAGUCCGGCCCAAUACAUCUUUUGUCAUCUACAAUAAAUUAUUUUACAAUUUAUGUUUAUGAUUUUUGGACUUAAUAACAGCGGUUCAUUGACAAUCUACUUUAACAGUAAGGGAACCUAUUUUUAGGUUGCAAAACUUGCAGCAAUAAAUUAGCUUCCCCAAAAGAGAAAUAAAGAUUUCACAUUCUAAUUAAAUAUCAAGGAAAUUAAUUAAUUGUGCUCCAUUAUUCCAACUUCCGAGAUCAGUACAUCAAAAUUGAACAUUAAUAAUUAAAUUGUUCAAAACUUGUUUCGAUAAGCUAGCUAGUUCCCAAAUGGAAGUAUAAGAUUUCACUUCCUUAGAUAGACACGAUAAUCUUUCACUAUAAAUUUAAAUUAAACCUUAUUAAAGGUCUUGAAUUCAUUGUACGCACAUAGUUUGAACCUCAUAUAGACCACCAACGUAACCAUGAAGAAAACUAUCUUCUAUAAAAGAUUUUCCCACCAAAGCUGAACAAGUAUCAGAUUUAGGGUUAGGAUUAGGAUUUGUCAACAUUUAGAAAUUUGGAUUUAGAUUCAGGAUUUGGCAACAUUCGAAUUUCGGGUUAGGUUUUGGUAGUUUUCCUGUUGUAUUUUAAUGGCUAUUAACAAGAAAUUAAUCAACUCACACAACUUUGAUCAAUUAAAGACAGAAUGGAAUCAAGAACAGAAAAUGAUUCAGUCAAACAAGAACCUAGAAAACUAUUCACAGUGAACAAGCUUCCAAGUUUCAAAGGAAAAAUGAACAAGAUCUCAUUACUCAAAUGCUUUACAAUCAGAUCAAUUGUUUUGAGGACACUUCAAGGAUUCCAAAGAAUCUAGAAUCACCUUUUUUAGCUAAGAAACAAAAGAGAAAUCACACACAAAGCAAUGCACAGCAGGCCCUUUCAUAUUUUGGAAAUUUUCUAGAAACACCUUAACAACCUUUAACCUUUUUGCCACAUUAGCGCAGAAUUUACAAAUUGACUCCUCAUUUGAAGUCGAUUUGCACAUUACCCAACAACUUUCAUUCGAUUACAUUUUAGUCCAAAAACAUAACUCAUGUCCUCACACUCUCCACCUUGCAGAUCUGAUUCAGCAUUACUCUUGACCAUAAGUGCUUUAAAAAAAAAACCUUCAACCACGCAACUUAACAACUAGAACCAUUUCCAAUACCAAUCAAGUCUACACAAAUCUUAAAUUUGGCUGUUGGAAUUACUUCUGUUAACAUAUCAGUAGGGUUGAUAUCUGUAUAUAUUUUUGUUACUACAACAAACCCUUUUGCGACCUCAUCUCUGAUAAAGUGCAACUUCAUAUCAAUGUGUUUGGUUCUCCCACGAUAAAUUUCAUUUUUUAUAAGCUGAAUCGCACUCUAAUUAUCACAAAAGAUCUAAAUUGUCUUUUGUUUCAACCAAAAUUCAUUCAGUAGCCUUCUCGGCCACAAUGAUUCUUUUACUGCCUCUAUUGCAGCAAAAAUUCAGCCUCAGUAGAUAACAAAGCUACUAUGUGUUGUAAAGUAAGUUUCCAACUUAUGAGACAAUUUUCUAGCAUGAACAGGUAUCCAGAGAUAGAAUUUCUCCUAUCUAAGUCACCUGCAAAAUUAGAGUCCACAUAGCCUCUAACUUCAUAGACUUCUUGCUUGGAUUUGCCAUACACCAGACCAUGAUCUAAAGUACGUUUCAAGUACCUCAUAACCCAUUUCAUAGCAUCCUAAUAAAGCUUAUCAGGAUUACUCAUAAACCUGCUUACUACACUUACUGCAUAAGCUAUGUCUGCUCUGGUGCAAGCCAUUGCAUACAUUAAGCUUCCUACAGCCAGUAAAUAUAGAAUUUCUUAGCAUAUGAUAUUGGAGACAUAUCAUUAGAGAGUUUAAAUUGAGCUCCCAAAAGUGUCAUUACAGGUUUUGAAUCCAUCAUAAUAUACUUUUCUAACUCCUUACUGACAUAUCUUGAUUGGCUUAGAAACAAAGUACCAACAACUCUAUCUCUAAGAAUAUCCAUAACAAGGAUCAUCUUAGCACUGCCAAGAUCUUUCAUUUCAAAUUCCCCCUUUAAUAAAUUCUUAAGUUUCUCAAUAUCACUAGAAUUUUUACCAACAAUGAGUAUAUCAUCAACAUACAACAAAAGAUACAUAGCUCCACCUGAGCUUAUGUUCCUAUGAUAGACAUGUUGUACAAAUUUUAUUGAACUCGCAAGUGCACGAAUCUAUUUUAGAAUAGAUCAAUGGUGACAAGUGUCGAUCCCACGAGGAGGUGGAUUUUAAUUGUGUGUAGAAUUAAUUUUUCUAAAUGGGUGGUUGGAAUUAUGGUAAAGAUGAUUUGGAAUAUCUUAAAAUUUAAAUUGAAAUGGCAGAAUUAAAUUAAAAUGGAAACUAUAAUAAUUGAAGCGCUUGGGUAUCUAGAUCCGCAUCAACAUGCACCAUGGGCUAAAUAUUUCUUAUUAAUGCCAAUUAAAUCAUGAGGGGGGAAUCCACACCUCAUGAACCACACUCUAAUCAAUAUGGUGCUAAGAGCUUAUCGUACCAAAUAAUAAUAACUUUGUACUAGGGAGCCGGUAAAAUCAGUGCGGUAUCUAGACAAGAUUAUUAUUAUUUGUCGACGAAAAGUCAAAACAUCCACAAAAAUUAGAGGUGAAGAGAAAAUAAAUUUACCAAAUAAAGCCCAUGACAUAUGUUGAGACUUCACCUUCAACCCAAGCUUGAAAGAAAAUUAACUACUCAUAAUUGAACUAGGAGCAAAAUAAGAAUUUAUUAAAAUACGUAGAAAAUACAAGAUGGAGAAGGAAUUAUAGAAAAUGGAACUUAAAAUUGAAUUCAGAGAUAUCAAAAUAGGGGGGAGAGGUCCUAUUUUUAUAGAUACAUUGAGUAAACAAUGGCUAUCGAAUUAAAAACAGUUUGAACGCUCAGGAUUGCGCCACGUCAUCAGUCAACAGUACGCAGUUUGACCACGCGGUUUGAACAGUGAUACGGUUUGACCACACGGUUUGAACAGUCAACUGGUUUGAAUAGUGACACGGUUUGGUUGAAAAUAAUCCUGUGUAUAUGCAUGUACUGUACGCGCGAUUUUUAGUCCACUGAUAUGCUGCCGCGUCACCAAUCAACAGUGCAUAAGAAUUUUCUCCAAUGGAAUCGUGUCACCUCGUCAGUCAAUGCCACAUCAUCGGUCAAUGCCACGUCAUUGAUCCGUCUAUGUGAACAGUGUCGUGAACAGUAACGUAAACAAUACCGUACAUGUGAAUAAUAUCGUACAUGUGAACAAUGAUAUUUUUCCUUUUAUGCUCCUCCUAAGGUUUUCGACUGUCCUGAGUUCAAAAGUGAUGUCCGUUUUGCCGUCUGAUCUCUAGUUCAUUGUGAAAUGACCAUGAUGUCCCUAAAAUACAUAAAAUACUUAAUUAAAAUAAAACAUAUAUAAUUGAAUCACAAGAAACUUAAAAUACAUAAAAGUAAGGGUGUUAAUAAGACUUGAAAUGUAAAAUGACGAUUUUCUCCUUUAUAAAUAUAUAUUUUCUAACACUCAACAAGAUACAAUUAUCAUAUGUGCUCUUGUAAUAGCCAUUAGAGAUCAUAAACUGGUCAAAUCUCUUACAUUGCCUAGGAGACCCUUUCAAGCCAUAUAGAGACUUAUGCAGAAGACAUACAUAAUCCUUAUGUCCCUUUACUUAAAAACCUUCAGGCUGUGACAUUAAUAUCUUUUCUUCAAGAUUAUCAUGUAAGAAGGCAGUCUUUAUAUCCAUUUGUUCAAGCUCUACAUGAAGCAAAGUCACCAUAACAAGUAAGGUUCUAAUUGAUUUGUGUUUUACAGCAUGUGAGAAGAUUUCAUUAAAAUAUACCCCUCAUUUUGAAACCCCUUGCCACAAGUCUUGCCAUAUAUCUUGAGUCUUUAACACAUGGAAUACCCUCAUUCUUCUUGAAUAUCCAUUUGCAGCUGACAAUUUUCCUAUUUCUUGGAUUAGAAACCAAUGUCCAUGUCUGAUUCCUUACCAGAGAAUCCAUCUCUUCCCUUAUUGCUUUAAUCUAGUUAUUGUUGUACUUAGUGCUUUUGCGUAGCUGCUAGGCUUUUCAAUUGAAACAUCCUCUACACUCGUCAAUGCAUAUGCAACUAUGUCUGUAUAUGCAUACCUUUUUGGGGGUAUGAUAUGUCUUCUUUAUAUGUCCAUAUCUAAUUGAUAUUAUUGCAGAUCAGUAACUUGUGGUGCUGCAUCUUCAAUUACUACUGUAUCUUGAGAAUAAUCUUCAACAGCUUCUGGUUGUACUUCAUCUUUAUGAGCACUAGACAACUCUACCUCAAUAUUAACACCUUGAUUAAUGACUCCAGUAGUCAGUGUCUUAUUUACAUUAAUAUCAGUAUCAGAAGUUACUUGAUCAGACUUAUUGAUUACAACAACUUCAUUAAACAGAAUAAAUAAUUAAACACUUAUUAGCUUUUCCACACCAAACUCUGUAGCCUUUAACCCCAUCUAUAUAACGAACAAAUGCUCAUUUGACAGCUUGUGCAUCAAGCUUCCCUUGUCUAAUAUGAACAUACGUAGGAUGCCCAAAUACCCUGAGAUAUUUAUAGCUUGCAAGUUUUCCAGACUAGACUUCUUAUGGAGUUUUGAACCCAAUGGCUGAUGAUGGACUUCUAUUAAUGAGAUAACAGGCUGUUGAGAUAGCUUCAACCCAAAAACUCCUUGGUAAUUAAUAAUUGAUCAAUAAGCAUCUUGUCUUAUAAACAAGGGUUCUGUUCAUCUUUUCAACUAAGCCAUUUUGCUGAGGGGUGAGCCUUACCGUCUUAUGCCUCUUAAUCCCUCAUUCUUGAUAAAAAAAAAACUUUAAACUCUUUAUUACAGAAUUCAAGUUCAUUGUCUGUCCUAAGGCAUUUCACUUUGAAACCAUAUUGAGCCUCCACCAAAGCCUUCAAGACUUUAAACUUUUCAAAGACUUGAUCUUUGGUUUUCAAAUAUAUAUACCCAAACCUUUCUGGAGUAAUCAUUUAUCACAGAUAUAAAGUACUUUCCACCACUUAGAGAAGAGACCUGACCAGGCGCUCAAAGAUCAGCAUGCACAUAGUCUAAAGGUUGUUUAGACACAUGCAUCCCUUUAGUAAAUUUGACAUGUGUGCUUUGCUAAAAAUACAGUUUUCACAUAAGUCUAACUCAAUUAUUUUGUCACCACAGAGCAACCCUUGAAUACUUAAUUUUUGCAUUCCCCUAAUACUCAUAUGGUCAGGUCUAAGAUGUCAUAACAUAGUUCUAUCAAGCUCAGAAAUAGUUGUCAUUAUAGUUGACACAAGCACUGAUGAUCCUUCUAAUAUAUAAAGACCAUUUUUCUUAAUCCCUUUCAUUACCAUCUCAGUCCUUUUCAUAAUCUUUAAACCACUAUUUUCAAAUUUGAAGAAGUAUCAUGUACUAUCCAGCAUGCCUAAAGAGAUUAAGUUCCUCUUUAGCCUAGGUGUAUGUCUCACAUCACAUAGAGUUAUAACAAUCCCAUCAAACAUCUCUAUUUUGAUAAACCCUAUACCAAAAAUCUUACACACAUUGUUGUUUCCCAUCAAAACUCUACCACUAUCCACAUAUUCAUACUCAUAAAAAAAACUUCUAUCAGGACACAAAUGAAAGGAACAAUCUAAAUCAAGGACCUAAUAACCUCUAAUGUUGUUGUUUAAGGCUACCAACAAGUCAGCACUAUGGUAUCCAUCAUCAGAUAAAUCAUCUGAGGCCACUGCUGCAUCUCAUAUUCUCUCUUUAUCAUAUUUCUUUUUCUCAGAACAAUCUCUAAUGUAAUGGCCUUGUUUCUUACAGUAAAAACACUUCCUCUUCUUCAUUUUUUUUCUUUUGCAGAUCUAUCAAAAUUGUACGUGAAAAGUUCUCAUUUAUCCUUUAAUAAUGCAUAUUUUUUGUCACUGUUUAAAAGUUGGAACAAAAUGAGUAAUAAAUUUCAUUGGAACUCAAGUUGUAAAAAUAAAUUAUAAGAUAGAUCGAGCAUCAUUCUCCCUAAUUUUAAUUAAUAGAUCAAACUUUUUCUUCUGGAUAAUUAUUUCGAGGAAUAGUAUCCUUAGCUCGUUUACGUAGGCAACAAGUUAGCAUAACCUACAUAUGAAACAAUAUCUUCUAAAGACUUGAAAAUUCUCGUAAGCAAGAAGUUAGCAUAACCUACAUAUAAAACAAUAUCUUUUAAAGACUUGAAAAGUCUAGUCAAUUUUCUAAACUUUCAUUCUUGAACGAUGUCUAUUUUCUUAUAGGUAAACUCAAGGGACAUUUUCUUUAAAAAAAGUUGAUAAAACAAAUAUGAAAUUGAAUUAAAUUCUCAUAAUUAGAACCGAAGCAGAAAAAAAAUGACGUUAUUUUAUAUUUAAGUAAUGCUACAUAGCAUGAUCUAAGAGAAUAUAAGAAAUUAAAUAAAAAAUAUUAAAUUUUGUAAAAAAAUUAAAAAAUUUUAUAAAUAUUUAAAGGACCAAACUAAAUCGAAAAUCUUAGUUCUAAUUCUAUUCCUAUUGAUUUUUCAAGAAUUCAGUACUGAACCAAACUAAAGUUUUGGAUUCGGCCCAAUACCUAAUCAAAUCGUCUCAUUGCCCACCCUUAAGUAAAUUAUUGUUUAUAUAUAGCUUGUUGCAAAAUAAUAAUCAUAUAGGAUUCAAUUACUUUGAAACAAUUGCAACAUGUGUCAAAUUUUUUCAUUAUGAUACUUCAGCUGUAUACAUGAAAAAGUAGUUUCAACGGUAGGAUGUUGUUAUUUGGUUAUUAACAUUAUACCCUCUAAAACAUAUUUCAGAACUUAAAAACAAUCCGGCCCAAAUUCCAAAUCUCUCUCUUCUUCUCAAAAUCAUCUUCAUCUCAUCUCACCUUCAUUUCAUCUUGUUCCCUAAUUGUCGCCCAAAUUCUCGUCUUGUUCUUGUUCAUUUACAACUGAAUUUGAUUUAGCAUUAUUAUUUGUGGAACUUUCAAAUUAAAUUGACCAAAAGUGACUGUUCCUUUGGGGGCGGACCCAGGCCUCGAAAAUUUUUGCUUAAACCCCUUAAUUUUUUAUAAUUUUUCAUAAAACAAUAUUUAUUUUACUUUUAAAUAUGUCCCCAAUUCAACCUUUUUUUUUUCUUCAAUUAGAGUUAGAGAUUAUAUAUUUAUUGAAUAAAUUGAAAUCAUCAGAAGUUUAAAGACUUAGCACUGCUUUACCUUAUUAUAAAAAAUAUUAUAAUUUGGUCUAAUUGAAAAAAAAAAUGUCAAUAGAUUAUAAUAUUAUCACUAUGAGUAAUUUUAAUCUUAUAAUAAGAGAAUCUUUUACUUUAGGGAAAAAGAUACCUACAUCCUCAAGGUUUAGAGAAAUGGUUAUGUAGAUCUAAAAUUUUUAAUAAAAGAUACCAAGACCCACUUUUGAUUAUAAUACCAUUUAGCACUAUUAACUCAAAAUUUUUUUGUAAGGUUGUCCUACUAUCUUAGUAUGUUAAAUUUGUUGGAAAAAAUCCAAUACUAUUGGGUUAUGUGACAGAAUAAUAAGUCUCUAAAUGGUAUGAUUGAGGUGGUGCGAUGAUCCGACACAAAUAUUUCUUGUCAAACAAAGGGUUCAAAGCCAUAAAAUUAGUAGAGUAAAUGCAAUAAAAUAAUGUUAUUCAUAAAGCUGAAGUUUUAUGCUCCUCCAAAAUUGAUUUAGCUUACUGGCAACCCCGAUAAAAGCUGCCCGGUGCCGGCUAUCAGCCAUCUUUAUAAAUGUGUUGAUUUAUUUAAUAAAUUGAAAAUACAUAAGAAAGUAAGGAGGCCAAAUAAAAUUUAGUAUUGCAAAAGAUUGAAAAAAAGGCGCCACUGUGAUACUACGGUACGAAAGUUGUCGCGCAGUUUCCUUUGUCCUAAUCUCUAACACGAUUCUUCUCAUAAUUCCAUGGAAACAUUGUCUUGUUCUGAACCAAUUAUUGUUGUCAAAUACUUUGUUACAUUCUUUUUAUGAUACACAUAUUAUCAAAAUAUUUGUUACAUUUAUUAAGUUAUUAAUUCAUCAUAUUUUUUAAGUCCUAUGUUACAAAUAUUAUGUUAUGAAAAAGCUGGGUUACUUAAAGUUGGUGUCCAAUCCGACACUCAAUCAAUCACUAAAGCUAGUAUUGCUCUUUGUAUAAAGUUAGUUUCUUUUUUCACUGACAAACAUCUAUCAUAUUGCUUUUCCUAAAAAAGCCAAAGCUAAAUCAAGGUGGAGUUUCUCCAAGAAGCAUAAUUAAUCACAAACCAUAUAAGCAAUAAAAUAUGGUCGGCAACACCCUUUUAUUUCUUCAAUUUAUUUUGUUUUAGGUACAUGAAACCACCCUAUUUUAUAAAAUUACACCACAUUAGGAACACACUUUUAUUUCUUCAAUUUAUUUUGUUUUCGAUACAUGAAACCACCCUAUAUUAUAAAAUUACGCCACAUUAUUUCCACAAGCCAGUGAAGUAUCGGCGAAAACAUCUUAACAAUAGAGAUUUGGGCCAGGAGCAACACCAAAUUUGUUGCAAUAAUCCUUAUAAUAUCCGUUGCGAGCUUGAACCUGAGCAGGUUGCUUGCCACCGCAUUCAAUGGCUCCAUUGAUUCUCUGAAUUGUUGCACCAAAACCUUGGUUCAUAACUGGGUGCACAUAGGUCAUCCAAAACCACAAGGCAGUCUUAAAUGACACAACGGGGUCCCUGGCCACCGUU